This 1928-nucleotide ribosomal RNA is filed under the name Triticum aestivum (bread wheat). RNAcentral's name for it is "partial small subunit ribosomal RNA". Lineage: Eukaryota; Viridiplantae; Streptophyta; Magnoliopsida; Poales; Poaceae. The record is from RNAcentral.
GCGGAUCGUUUGUGUCGUCGGGGAGUUGAGUUUUGUGUGUGUGUUACCUUUCUUUGUGUGACCAAGAAGUCACCUAUUGAGCGGAGGGUCUUUGGGUUUGAGACCGGGGCACUACGAGCGGGUGUGCGCGGAGGGCGGAGGCGGAGGCGGAGGCGUAGGGCGGGUUUAGGACGGGCGGGCGGAGCGGCCUCCGCCGCCACACCUCAAGGCGGCGUUCGAGGUGAAGGAGAGCCGGCUCGAGGUAGAGCUGGGCAAGGGCGAGGAGCGGGAAGUAGGACUCGAGGCGAGGCGCGGCGAGCGCGAAGAGGUACGGAGGGAGGCGGAGGAGGAGAGUGUGCCUGAGAGGCGGCCGCUGCGGAGGGCGCAGAAGAGCCGUAAGGGCAGCGAGGAGUGGAGAGGAGGACUCCUCAGGGAGGCGAAGGAGAGGCGGCGGCGCGGCGACGGGGGAGGAGAGGAGGCGCAGCGCCACCAGGCAAGGGGAGCGGAGGAGCGUCGCAGGUAGGGCCUAUGGGAGGCGGGGCGCGAAAUGAAGGAAGCGGUGGCGCAAAGGGACGCUGCCUCUGGGGAAGGCGAGCGACGACGGGACGAGGAGCGAAAGAGGCAGCUGGCGUGUGAGGAGGGGUUCGAGGAGAAGGAACCGUUUCGGUGCCCCGAGGGUCUGGGGCGGUAGACGUGGUAAUAAGCGGCGCGGGGGCGGUAAGAGAGGAUACCAUAGCUCUGGUUGGAGUGCGGGUUCGAGUUCAAGGAGCGACUGCCGUACCCGUACCUUGGUCGGCGCCUCGAGUGGCUCAAGGGUGUGAUGAAGCGCAAGUCGAACCUCCCCUCCUAGUUCGGCUCCGUGGUUCGUAACUCCGACUCCCCGCAACUAUACAGUGAUUUCCUUUACGAGUGCUCGUCGCUACUACUCAAGUUCCUCGCCUAGAAUCUACGUUGCGACAGCUCGUUAUACGUCUCCUACACUUGGACGUGAGUCUUCCUCCGAGUUGUAUUUAACUCGACCACACAAUGAAACCUCCUAUCGAGCGUUACCUAAGUCAUUAGGAACCUCCUUCCUACCCAGGCUUCGUACUCGAGAAAUUCUCCACCGGUCAAAACCAAGAUACCACCUCGACACCCUGGAUACAAAUCCACUCACCACUAGUUGGGCUUCUCAAAUCACUAUCGACAGACAGAAAUACAUGAUGAGGGAGUUAAGCCUUAAUGAACAACGCAUUUACCUACAUAGAUCUGCAUAAAAUCAAGAUCUAUAUAGGUAAAGGCUCUGUUCAUUGAGGCUUACCUCCCUCAUGGUGAUUAGGUUUUACAUUCAGAAGAUGAGGGAGGUAGGGUGUAAUACCCUACCUCCCUCAUCUUAAAAUGAUCAGUUUGUAAAGAUUCAAACUGGUAGAUAUUUCCAUCUUGAUGGUCGUAGACAUUGUAGUCGACUAUAAAGAUCUAAAUAGUACUGUACAUGGGGGGGACAGACCUUUAUGAACAGGCUCUUUACUUAUGUUUACCUAUAUAAAUCUUGAUUUUAUGCAGAUUUAUGUAGAUAAAGAAGCUGUUCAUAAAAGCCUGCUUCCCUCAUCAAACAUUACAUUAAAAAAACUGCACUGUAUUUGUGAAAUACGUCUUUAACAACCAGUUUAGUGGUAUAACUUCUGGGUCAGGACAGGAUUUUCUCGAUCCAAAACCUAGCUUCCUUCAUCCACAAAGGUACCCUAAUACAUUUGACUUGACAACAAACCAAGUGAAAACCGUAACGUAUUAACCUUUUGGAUUUACACCUUACGAUCUAAUACAAACAAUCAAUUGGACGAGAAAAUACCGGGUAGGUGCAAACAACAAUCUUUAUUAUUAGGAACAAAUCAAACGACAAUCUUUAUUAUCAGGUACGAAUCAAACGACAAUUUUUAUUGUUAGGAACGAACCAAACAACAACCUUGUUC